AGAGUUUGAUCCUGGCUCAGGAUAAACGCUGGCGGCGUGCAUGAGACAUGCAAGUCGAACGGACACUCGGGGCUUGCUCUGAGUGUUAGUGGCGGACGGCUGAGUAACGCGUAGGUGACCUGUCCCGAAGUGGGGAAUAACUGCCCGAAAGGGUGGCUAAUACCGCAUGUGGUGGUGCGUUCGAUCGCGCCAGUAAAGCCGCAAGGCGCUUCGGGAGGGGCCUGCGUCCGAUUAGCUCGUUGGUGGGGUAACGGCUCACCAAGGCGACGAUCGGUAGGUGGUCUGAGAGGACGAUCACCCAGACUGGGACUGAGACACGGCCCAGACUCCUACGGGAGGCAGCAGUCGGGAAUUUUGCGCAAUGGACGAAAGUCUGACGCAGCAACGCCGCGUGAGGGAUGAAGGCCUUCGGGUUGUAAACCUCUUUUAUCAGGGAAGAUAAUGACGGUACCUGAUGAAUAAGUCACGGCUAACUACGUGCCAGCAGCCGCGGUAAU
Molecule: ribosomal RNA, 497 nt
Filed under: uncultured soil bacterium
Lineage: Bacteria
Description: bacterial SSU rRNA
Rfam family: Bacterial small subunit ribosomal RNA
Source: RNAcentral